This 158-nucleotide ribosomal RNA is filed under the name Ceratobasidium sp. AG-A. Its description in RNAcentral is "5.8S ribosomal RNA". It matches the Rfam family "5.8S ribosomal RNA". Rfam says of the family: 5.8S ribosomal RNA (5.8S rRNA) is a component of the large subunit of the eukaryotic ribosome. It is transcribed by RNA polymerase I as part of the 45S precursor that also contains 18S and 28S rRNA. Lineage: Eukaryota; Fungi; Basidiomycota; Agaricomycetes; Cantharellales; Ceratobasidiaceae. The record is from RNAcentral.
GUUUCAACAACGGAUCUCUUGGCUCUCGCAUCGAUGAAGAACGCAGCGAAAUGCGAUAAGUAAUGUGAAUUGCAGAAUUCAGUGAAUCAUCGAAUCUUUGAACGCACCUUGCGCUCCUUGGUAUUCCUUGGAGCAUGCCUGUUUGAGUAUCAUGAAAU